AAGGAUCAUUACAGAUUAGAGAAGCUUAAUUGCUUUUUCUUACACAUUUGUUUUUUCUUUUUUGAAAAAUUGCUUUGGUAGUGAGUCUUAAAAACACUUGCUGCCAGAGGUUAAACUUAAAUUUAAUUUUUUAUUUACUAGUCAACAAGAAAUCUAAUAGUUAAAACUUUCAACAACGGAUCUCUUGGUUCUCGCAUCGAUGAAGAACGCAGCGAAAUGCGAUAAGUAAUAUGAAUUGCAGAUAUUCGUGAAUCAUCGAAUCUUUGAACGCACAUUGCGCCUUUUGGUAUUCCAGAAGGCAUGCCUGUUUGAGCGUCAUUUCUCCCUCAAACCCUUGGGUUUGGUGUUGAGCAAGACGUUUUUGAGUUUGCUUGAAAGAUAUUUAGUUUUUUUCCAAAGGAUAGGUUUUACCAAAUCUUUGAAUAUAAGAAACUAUUGAAAUUUCCAAAUUCGACCUCAAAUCAGGUAGGACUACCCGCUGAACUUAA
RNAcentral lists this ribosomal RNA (488 nucleotides) under Insectozyma xiaguanensis. RNAcentral's name for it is "eukaryotic LSU rRNA". The stretch from base 165 to 318 matches the Rfam family "5.8S ribosomal RNA". Lineage: Eukaryota; Fungi; Ascomycota; Pichiomycetes; Serinales; Debaryomycetaceae. The record is from RNAcentral.